Molecule: ribosomal RNA, 425 nt
Filed under: uncultured bacterium
Lineage: Bacteria
Description: bacterial SSU rRNA
Rfam family: Bacterial small subunit ribosomal RNA
Source: RNAcentral
GUGGGGAAUAUUGGACAAUGGGCGAAAGCCUGAUCCAGCAAUGCCGCGUGAGUGAUGAAGGCCUUAGGGUUGUAAAGCUCUUUUACCAGGGAUGAUAAUGACAGUACCUGGAGAAUAAGCUCCGGCUAACUCCGUGCCAGCAGCCGCGGUAAUACGGAGGGAGCUAGCGUUGUUCGGAAUUACUGGGCGUAAAGCGCACGUAGGCGGUUACUCAAGUCAGAGGUGAAAGCCCGGGGCUCAACCCCGGAACUGCCUUUGAAACUAGGUAACUAGAAUCUUGGAGAGGUCAGUGGAAUUCCGAGUGUAGAGGUGAAAUUCGUAGAUAUUCGGAAGAACACCAGUGGCGAAGGCGACUGACUGGACAAGUAUUGACGCUGAGGUGCGAAAGCGUGGGGAGCAAACAGGAUUAGAUACACUGGUAGUCC